Molecule: ribosomal RNA, 253 nt
Filed under: uncultured bacterium
Lineage: Bacteria
Description: partial 16S ribosomal RNA
Rfam family: Bacterial small subunit ribosomal RNA
Source: RNAcentral
UACGUAGGGGGCAAGCGUUGUCCGGAAUCACUGGGCGUAAAGGGUGCGUAGGCGGGUCUUUAAGUCAGGGGUGAAAUCCUGGAGCUCAACUCCAGAACUGCCUUUGAUACUGAGGAUCUUGAGUUCGGGAGAGGUGAGUGGAACUGCGAGUGUAGAGGUGAAAUUCGUAGAUAUUCGCAAGAACACCAGUGGCGAAGGCGGCUCACUGGCCCGAUACUGACGCUGAGGCACGAAAGCGUGGGGAGCAAACAGG